UAAAAGAGAUUGAAAUACAUGAGAAUUCACAGAUAAAGCUUGUUCAGUGUCCACACCCAAAGAGGAGAAAAAAAAAAGUUAAUAAAUCUGUAAAGGUAGAUACUUCAAAUUCUUGCAAUGAACAAUAUACAGGGAUUGAAGAGAAGAGAGGUUACCCAACCACUAUGGCAAAGCUUCCACUUGAUAGAGAUACACAUAUAGUGUGAGUUUCGGGCAGUGAAGCAUUAGAGUUGAUAUGAAAGAGACUUUACUCUAUACCACGAUCCCCAUGUAUCUCUAGUAUUUCAAAGGAUGGGAUGCCUUGGAUUAAAUUCAGAUAAUGAAAGAAUCCAAUUUCCAUGAGAAAUCUCCAAUACCUAAUCCCUCAAUUGGGUGAGGCUACCAAAUAUCUUCUCUGGAAAAGAACUCAAACCUUGACACUGCUGCUUGUAAAGAAUGAAGAGAAUGCAUGAGAAUUCACAUAUAAAGCUAGUUCAGUGGUUUAGUUCUCAAAGCAUAUGGCGGAUCAAAUUCUUAGAAGACUUUGUCAUUGAUAAUUUGAUAAAUAUGAAAAUGGAAAUACAACUUUUCUCUAUAGGAGAACAGAAAUUAUAGCCAAGAUAACAGAAUCAUUUAAUCUGGUGAUCUCUCUUAGAAAUAGUCAUUAGGAUUGGAACAUGAAAUAAUAGCAGAAUCAAUUACUCUAACUAAGCUCAUGGUUUUAUAAAAAAAAAAAAAAAAAA
Molecule: long non-coding RNA, 722 nt
Filed under: Manihot esculenta (cassava)
Lineage: Eukaryota; Viridiplantae; Streptophyta; Magnoliopsida; Malpighiales; Euphorbiaceae
Description: long non-coding RNA (MESC_LNC004299)
Source: RNAcentral